GUGUUAAAAAUUCAGGAAAAAAUGUCUCCACAGUCAUAGUGAGCCAUGCCAGAGCAAGCUGCUGGCCCAAACCAUUACCCGGCCUCUGUGUCCGAAGCUACUGACACUAAAGUGGGUCGUGUAGCU
Molecule: small nucleolar RNA, 126 nt
Filed under: Cavia aperea (Brazilian guinea pig)
Lineage: Eukaryota; Metazoa; Chordata; Mammalia; Rodentia; Caviidae
Description: Small nucleolar RNA SNORA42/SNORA80 family (ENSCAPG00000002625.1)
Source: RNAcentral